This 43-nucleotide non-coding RNA is filed under the name Prorocentrum micans. The record is from RNAcentral. Lineage: Eukaryota; Dinophyceae; Prorocentrales; Prorocentraceae.
UUUUUUUUUUUUUUUUUUUUUUUUGUGUUUUUCCUUCUUGCGA